RNAcentral lists this unclassified non-coding RNA (345 nucleotides) under soil metagenome. RNAcentral's name for it is "partial contains 5.8S ribosomal RNA, internal transcribed spacer 2, and large subunit ribosomal RNA". The stretch from base 1 to 120 matches the Rfam family "5.8S ribosomal RNA", at positions 35 to 154 of the family's 154-position model. The record is from RNAcentral.
GAUGAAGAACGUAGCGAAAUGCGAUACGUAAUGUGAAUUGCAGAAUUCAGUGAAUCAUCGAGUCUUUGAACGCACAUUGCGCCCCCUGGUAUUCCGGGGGGCAUGCCUGUCCGAGCGUCAUUGCUGCCCUCAAGCACGGCUUGUGUGUUGGGCCUCCGUCCUCCUCCCGGGGGACGGGCCCGAAAGGCAGCGGCGGCACCGCGUCCGGUCCUCGAGCGUAUGGGGCUUCGUCACCCGCUCUUGUAGGCCCGGCCGGCGCUUGCCGACACAUCAAUCUUUUUUCCAGGUUGACCUCGUAUCAGGUAGGGAUACCCGCUGAACUUAAGCAUAUCAAUAAGCGGAGGA